AAAACAUGUACAAUUUGGGGUCAUCUGAACUCUCACCUAUGAGACAAAACUACAUCUCAGAAGGCUCAAUCACUUGUGAUUUUCUUUAAUUAGUUAUGUAAAGAACACAAUGAACAAGACGAAAACAAUGUUAGUAAUCUUCAACUCUUAGUUGAGCAUUGUUUACUACGAAAAUCUUCAGACAGCAGUUUGUUCAUCAACUCUUGCAACCUGUUGGCUCCAGGACCAGGCCUAAAUACCGAGUCGUCUCCUAUCACGGAGCAGGGAUCAGCUCCAUCAGCUGAGGUUCCAUUACACCAUGCUCCUGGUGCAAAACGAUGUGUACGACCAAGUAAUUCUCUGUCAAUCUUGUCUAAGACAGGAUCAUCCUUGCGGAAUUUUCGAGCAAAUGGUGCACUGCUAUUAACCAUUUUGUUGAAAUCCUUCACUGUCAGUGAAACAGGAUGCUGCUUGGGAGGGGUGUCCCAAGCAAUAUAGUGCAAAUCAUGGCCUAUUGCUGUGCUACGGAACUCUUCCUUGUUGCAAAUUACUGUGUGAAAGUAACCUUCUGGUGAAGAAACAAAAUUUGCAUAGUACAUGAGCAGAGUUCUUGGAAAGUUAUCCCAUCCCCAUAUGCAGUACUCCACAAAAGAGCGUGUCAAAACCACCCAAGCUGAGCCUGUAAACAAUGUAAAAGCUGUAGGUAGUGAUCGUCGUUGAGAAGUCGUGGCAAGUUCAGAUUUCUUAGACAAAUAAAGACCAGGAUCAAUAAUAAUAGGUUUAGCUCUCUGGUUCAGUUUCCACCCAUGAAGUAGCAUAUUUUCAAUGAAAUUCAGGUUUCUGGACAUAUUAGAGAAAACAUGGAGCAAAUCAUCUUGAGUCAUCA
RNAcentral lists this unclassified non-coding RNA (865 nucleotides) under Hevea brasiliensis (rubber tree). Lineage: Eukaryota; Viridiplantae; Streptophyta; Magnoliopsida; Malpighiales; Euphorbiaceae. The record is from RNAcentral.